Long non-coding RNA from Bactrocera latifrons, 604 nucleotides. RefSeq lists it as uncharacterized. Lineage: Eukaryota; Metazoa; Arthropoda; Insecta; Diptera; Tephritidae. The transcript has 4 exons. The record is from RefSeq and is a predicted model, not a curated record.
UCAACARCAACAAACAUUUAAAACAACAAAAACAUCGUCAACAAACAGCACGCUUGCCAUGAAGCCCGGUAGCAGCAUCAAUCCCACACGGCUCGUACAUCAUAGCGACGGUAAUUAAAAACUUCAAGUGUAAAUGAAUGAGUUUAAUGGUCCAAUCAACAAAGUAUAAAGAAACAAAACGUGGAACUCUCAAUAUAAGUGAUUAAUACCAAAAUGUGGUCUAUGUAAAUCAGUUGAUUUCUACAAUCAUUAGAGCAAGAGGUCUUCAGCAUUACCAGCUGGCGUUGCGGGCUUUCUUCUGGACUUCAAUAAACUACUUGAAUAAUAACGGAAAUGUUGCCGCUGUAAUAAGUUGUGAAAAGUGUCAAACAAAAGGAGCAUAAAUCAAAAAAGUUUGAAGGAGUGCCGAAAGGGAGCGCGUGGAAGAAAGAGUACAAGAAGCAGCACUACAAAUACAAAAGGUCCAUAAUAAAGGCUUACAACACAAAUACGAACGGUUAAUUAAAAAGCAUAAGAGAGCCCAAAAGAAAGCUUUUCUAAAGCUCAUAGAAAAAUAUUGUAAACAAAACUCGUUUAUAAAAGAGAAAAAAAGCUGCGCAAACUA